RNAcentral lists this ribosomal RNA (321 nucleotides) under Triticum aestivum (bread wheat). Its description in RNAcentral is "partial small subunit ribosomal RNA". Lineage: Eukaryota; Viridiplantae; Streptophyta; Magnoliopsida; Poales; Poaceae. The record is from RNAcentral.
AUGUUCGUUAUUAGUACAAAUAUUGGGUUUGUUUUUUAUUAUUACAGUUUCAGGCUUUCAGCUCAGGAGGGAAGAGAUGGAACUAUUUUUCGUCACAUUCUGCUGCCGGUGUUUGCAGAGAGCUUUCUAGAAUUUCAACGGACUGCUUCAUGUUGUGCAUCGAAAAUGAAAUCAACUGGUUCGAGAAUUAGCCAGAAUUCACAAUUAUGUUUCUGCUUUAAGCAUGAUAGUGAAAGGAGCACAUCACACUGUCACAAUAUAUUCGUCAAGCACGGCAAGUGGCAGUUAGUUUACACUUUACACCAGCCAGUGUUAUGUUGA